Long non-coding RNA from Cyanistes caeruleus (blue tit), 335 nucleotides. RefSeq lists it as uncharacterized. The record is from RefSeq and is a predicted model, not a curated record. Lineage: Eukaryota; Metazoa; Chordata; Aves; Passeriformes; Paridae.
UCUUAAGCACCUCAAGGGACAGUUCUUCCACCAACUCCCUGGGCAGCCCAUUCCAAUGCUCAGUCACUCUUUCUAUGGAGAAUUUUUCCCUAAUGUCCAGCCUAAAAUAUUUGUCCAGUAUGUACAAAGGAGACAAGGAUUCCUGUACCUUUAGGAUGUUGUCAAACAGCCCUAGCCAGAUGGAGCUUUGACAGACAAAGGUACCCUCUGGCCAAUGUCUGAUUAGAAGCUCUUGGGAGAACGUAGAGAUUCCUAGGAGCUCUAAAAGUAGAACUAACUGGAAAACAAUCUGAAUGCAUGACAACAUGCAGCCAUACAAAGUACAAUACACAAAC